UUGAUGGCAUCUUCGAUGUACCAAAGCUUUUGCGCUGAAGGAUGGGCUCGCGUCUGAUUAGAUAGUUGGUGGGGUAAUGGCCUACCAAGUCGACGAUCAGUAGCCGGACUGAGAGGUUGAACGGCCACAUUGGGACUGAGACACGGCCCAGACUCCUACGGGAGGCAGCAGUGGGGAAUAUUGCACAAUGGGCGCAAGCCUGAUGCAGCAACGCCGCGUGGAGGAAGACGGUUUUCGGAUUGUAAACUCCUGUUCUUAGUGAAGAAUAAUGACGGUAGCUAAGGAGCAAGCCACGGCUAACUACGUG
RNAcentral lists this ribosomal RNA (307 nucleotides) under uncultured bacterium. Its description in RNAcentral is "bacterial SSU rRNA". It matches the Rfam family "Bacterial small subunit ribosomal RNA", at positions 182 to 507 of the family's 1533-position model. The record is from RNAcentral.